Molecule: small RNA, 238 nt
Filed under: Dasypus novemcinctus (nine-banded armadillo)
Lineage: Eukaryota; Metazoa; Chordata; Mammalia; Cingulata; Dasypodidae
Description: 7SK RNA (ENSDNOG00000030206.1)
Source: RNAcentral
GGAGGGAGAUGAGGCUGCAGUGGAAGCACUGAUGGCCAGGGCGGUUUCGGCUGAUCUGGCUGGCUCGACACAUGCCCUGUCUUUUCUCACCCUUCAAGGGCGUUCCUUCUCAGCUGACGAAGAUGAGCUUCUCAGACAGAAGAUCACUUUUGGGUAAAAGGAUGUGCUGUCUCCCCAGUCCUCCUAGAGCCCAUGUAUGCUCAUGCACAUAUGCAUGUAUACACACACACACACUUGU